ACGGAAGGCAGCAGUGGGGAAUAUUGGACAAUGGGGGAAACCCUGAUCCAGCGACGCCGCGUGAGUGAAGAAGUAUUUCGGUAUGUAAAGCUCUAUCAGCAGGGAAGAUAAUGACGGUACCUGACUAAGAAGCCCCGGCUAACUACGUGCCAGCAGCCGCGGUAAUACGUAGGGGGCAAGCGUUAUCCGGAUUUACUGGGUGUAAAGGGAGUGUAGGUGGCAAGACAAGUCAGAAGUGAAAAUCCGGGGCUCAACCCCGGAACUGCUUUUGAAACUGUCUAGCUAGAGUGCAGGAGAGGUAAGUGGAAUUCCUAGUGUAGCGGUGAAAUGCGUAGAUAUUAGGAGGAACACCAGUGGCGAAGGCGGCUUACUGGACUGUAACUGACACUGAGGCUCGAAAGCGUGGGGAGCAAACAGGAUUAGAUACCCUGGUA
This 434-nucleotide ribosomal RNA is filed under the name uncultured Anaerosporobacter sp. RNAcentral's name for it is "partial 16S ribosomal RNA". It matches the Rfam family "Bacterial small subunit ribosomal RNA", at positions 341 to 792 of the family's 1533-position model. Lineage: Bacteria; Bacillati; Bacillota; Clostridia; Lachnospirales; Lachnospiraceae. The record is from RNAcentral.